GACGAACGCUGGCGGCGUGCCUAAUACAUGCAAGUCGAACGCUUCUUUCUCACCGAGUGCUUGCACUCAUCGAGAAAGAGGAGUGGCGGACGGGUGAGUAACACGUGGGUAACCUGCCCAUCAGAAGGGGAUAACACUUGGAAACAGGUGCUAAUACCGUAUAACAAUCGGAACCGCAUGGUUCUGGUUUGAAAGGCGCUUUCGGGUGCCGCUGAUGGAUGGACCCGCGGUGCAUUAGCUAGUUGGUGAGGUAACGGCUCACCAAGGCAACGAUGCAUAGCCGACCUGAGAGGGUGAUCGGCCACACUGGGACUGAGACACGGCCCAGACUCCUACGGGAGGCAGCAGUAGGGAAUCUUCGGCAAUGGACGAAAGUCUGACCGAGCAACGCCGCGUGAGUGAAGAAGGUUUUCGGAUCGUAAAACUCUGUUGUUAGAGAAGAAUAAGGGUGAGAGUAACUGUUCACCCCUUGACGGUAUCUAACCAGAAAGCCACGGCUAACUACGUGCCAGCCGCCGC
This 519-nucleotide ribosomal RNA is filed under the name uncultured bacterium. Its description in RNAcentral is "bacterial SSU rRNA". It matches the Rfam family "Bacterial small subunit ribosomal RNA", at positions 28 to 518 of the family's 1533-position model. The record is from RNAcentral.